UUAACUAUUAUAUAGUACUCAGACGACAUUAAAUUCAAGGUUUGAUAUCCUCUGACGGGCACUUACUAGCCGGAGCCAAUAGUCUGACCGAGGCCUGACGGCCCGCCAAAGCAACAAAGGUAACGAUAACAUAGGGUGGAGAUCUACCCGCAAGGGCAUGAACUCUGUAAUGAUCCCUCCGCAGGUUCACCUACGGAGA
Molecule: unclassified non-coding RNA, 199 nt
Filed under: uncultured fungus
Lineage: Eukaryota; Fungi
Description: sequence contains ITS1
Source: RNAcentral